Non-coding RNA from Python bivittatus (Burmese python), 2212 nucleotides. The record is from RefSeq and is a predicted model, not a curated record. NCBI's taxonomy places the organism in Eukaryota, Metazoa, Chordata, Lepidosauria, Squamata, Pythonidae.
CUAUUCAAGGGUUGAGCCCUGACAUCCAAGGUAACACAUCCGCCACUUCGUUCUGCUUAUUGGAACUAAGUCUCCCUGCGUUCAAUGGGAACUGUCCUUAGACAACGUUUCAGGACUGCAGCCUCAGACGAAAUCUAGGCUAAGCGGCCUGGCGGGUUGAUGCAGUCUUCGUUAAGAACAAUGCACUCCCAUCCCUUCCUCUCUGCUCCUCUAAUACAACAAAACCACCGUCAUAAUACUGAAUCUUCCCCGACAUCAUUUCCAAAUCGUUACCUGCGGGUGCUCAAGAGUUAAUGGCUGCAGCGCACUGGGAAAGACAACCGAUUCCAAGCUGCGGCAGUCCUCACUCCGGUCGCGCUCCCGGUGAAAGCUGCGAUCAGUGCUUGCCCCCCGCCCAGACCAUCCGGGGCUGGGCAGCCUAAAUCUCAAGGGGCGCGAUUCUGCAAGUGCUUCGCGAUGCACUUUCGAUCUUAAAGUUACUCAGGGGAAUAAAUUAGAGCAUACAUAAAUGAAUGCACGAGUGGAUCCGGGAACAGCGGGCCGCCUCUCUCCUUUUGUUCUCUCUCUUCCCCACCCCGGAUCUAUUCCUCGGGAUUCGUCCGCCGUUGCUGGCCACGCACAGCCCCGAGAUCUUGAGCCAACCCCUUCCUGUGCCGUUAUCGUUUCUGAGCCGGACUGCAACCGUCUCCGUUUUGGCAGCUAAACUGCGCCUCGAGUCUCCCGGGAGAGAAAAGCAGCUGAUUUUAAGGAGCUGGACGGGCGCCCUGGAGUUGCCGUAAACAGAUCUCCGCUUCACGUGUCAGCAGAUUCUUUCAUCGGACAUAUGUGUGUCAACAGUAGGCAAGGUUCACAUGCAUUUUAAAAUCAUGGUUUGUUAAGCAAAGACUGGCUUCACAUACUACAUGGAGCCGAAGACAAACCAUGUUUAGCCUUAGCGCAAUGUAUGAACCCAGCCAUUAAAACGCGUACAGUAGUGGAAUCAGGUCCCCCGUCACCACUUGCUGGAUGGGAGAAGAACUUAACUCAUCAUUAUGUGAAAAUACUUAGAGCAGACUCUCAGAAUUUCCAGUAUUCCAAAAAAAUUAGGGAAUCCUGUUCUUGCAAACAUUACUGGACUCAAGUCAAAUUAAAUUUUAUCUAUGCAAACAUUUCUAAUAGCAUCAUUCAGGAUCGUUCUGGAAAGUUCAAAAGCAGAGUAGAAAUGUGAUGGUUCUUUCCGUGUUUAGUUCUAGAGCUGGUGAUGCCCCCAAACUUGAUGAAUGUAAGAAAAUCCUGGCACUAUCAAGAGAGUCUGAUUACAUGAUGCCAUCUCUUGAGCCAUUACUCUCUUCCUCAGAUAUUCAGAUUAGGACUACCAUCUCUGGAAAGCAGCAAGAAGAUACCAUUAAGUGAUGUUAUCUUCAAUUCACCUCUGACCCACUGUGAAGGCAACAAGCAUUCUUCUUUUCCUGAUCCAGUUUUCAAGUGGUGUUUUCCACCUUCAGUCAACACAAGCCUUGCAGUUUGGAAUGGUUCACCGUUUCUAUUAGCAAGCAUGAAGGAAAGCAGUGGAAAUCUCCCAAGACUUUGCUGCUUUAUGAAAACCCUGCUGUUGUAACUCUUCGUGAUCUCUCUGCCUGGUCUCUUUCGGACAGUGACACCAGGGCUCUGCCGAAUCUUUUGUGGAAUGGUCUGUUCUAGGCUCUGCUUAGCCUCUUGAGUUAUCUCAGCUGGAACAACAGGAUGGUCCCUUUCACCCUUUUCCAUAUCAUCCAUUUGUGAUGAGCUCUGUUGGCUCUUGCAUUUUUAUUCCCAUCUGUUCUCCUGCAGCUGGCAGCAAAAUCCAGUUUUUAAUUAGCACAAAAAAGCAUAUACCAUACAAACAUAGCCAUGAUUUUGGGUAGAAAUGUGAACUCUCUCUUCAAAAUAUCUCUAUAGCUGUGACCACAAUGGCACACAGAGUUCUGGGAAAGAUGUACAAAUAACCACGUUGUUUCUAAAUCAGCAGCAUUCAUGCCUAACUACUACUGACAAUUUUCAUCCUCUCAAAAAGAGCAUAAAUGAAUGGUUUUGAUUUAUAUCCGUAUUCAGACAUGAAGCUCACUGGGCAACCUGAACAAUUAUUUCUGAGCCUGGUAAAGGGUUGAGUCUCCCUUUUUACCCCUUCUUUCAUGAUUUAUGUAUCUUUGUUUAGCUAAAACAUACGACUGCAAUAAAGGAUUGCCACACUUUG